RNAcentral lists this ribosomal RNA (517 nucleotides) under Salmonella enterica subsp. enterica serovar Newport. RNAcentral's name for it is "partial 23S ribosomal RNA". It matches the Rfam family "Bacterial large subunit ribosomal RNA", at positions 161 to 717 of the family's 2925-position model. RNAcentral also lists the same sequence under 1 other name. Lineage: Bacteria; Pseudomonadati; Pseudomonadota; Gammaproteobacteria; Enterobacterales; Enterobacteriaceae. The record is from RNAcentral.
AAUCCAUAGGUUAAUGAGGCGAACCGGGGGAACUGAAACAUCUAAGUACCCCGAGGAAAAGAAAUCAACCGAGAUUCCCCCAGUAGCGGCGAGCGAACGGGGAGGAGCCCAGAGCCUGAAUCAGCAUGUGUGUUAGUGGAAGCGUCUGGAAAGGCGCGCGAUACAGGGUGACAGCCCCGUACACAAAAGCGCAUGUGCUGUGAGCUCGAUGAGUAGGGCGGGACACGUGGUAUCCUGUCUGAAUAUGGGGGGACCAUCCUCCAAGGCUAAAUACUCCUGACUGACCGAUAGUGAACCAGUACCGUGAGGGAAAGGCGAAAAGAACCCCGGCGAGGGGAGUGAAAAAGAACCUGAAACCGUGUACGUACAAGCAGUGGGAGCACAGGUUUACCUGUGUGACUGCGUACCUUUUGUAUAAUGGGUCAGCGACUUAUAUUCUGUAGCAAGGUUAACCGUAUAGGGGAGCCGUAGGGAAACCGAGUCUUAACCGGGCGUUAAGUUGCAGGGUAUAGACCCG